UCUAAUACCGGAUACGACCACUUCGGGCAUCCGAUGGUGGUGGAAAGCUCCGGCGGUGCAGGAUGAGCCCGCGGCCUAUCAGCUUGUUGGUGAGGUAACGGCUCACCAAGGCGACGACGGG
RNAcentral lists this ribosomal RNA (121 nucleotides) under Streptomyces roseolilacinus. Its description in RNAcentral is "partial 16S rRNA". It matches the Rfam family "Bacterial small subunit ribosomal RNA", at positions 162 to 283 of the family's 1533-position model. The record is from RNAcentral. Lineage: Bacteria; Bacillati; Actinomycetota; Actinomycetes; Kitasatosporales; Streptomycetaceae.